CUAGUAACGGCGAGUGAAGCGGCAAGAGCUCAAAUUUGAAAGCUGGCUCCUUCGGGGUCCGCUUUGUUUUUGCAGAGGAUGCUUCGGAAUCGGCCCCCAUCUAUUUGCCCUGGAACGGGCCGUCAUAGAGGGUGAGAAUCCCGUCGGGGAUGGGGUGCCCGUGCCCGUGUGAAGCUCCUUCAACCAGUCGAGUUGUUUGGGAAUGCAGCUCUGAUUGGGUGGUAAAUUUCAUCUAAAGCUAAAUAUUGGCCGGAGACCGAUAGCGCACAAGUAGAGUGAUCGAAAGAUGAAAAGCACUUUGAAAAGAGAGUUAAAAAGCACGUGAAAUUGUUGAAAGGGAAGCGCUUGCGACCAGACUCGCCCGCGGGGUUCAUCCGGCAUUCGUGCCGGUGUACUUCCCCGCGGGCGGGCCAGCGUCGGUUUGGGCGGCCGGUCAAAGGCCCCUGGAAUGUAACGCCUCUCGGGGCGUCUUAUAGCCCGGGGUGCCAUGCGGCCUGCCCGGACCGAGGAACGCGCUUCGGCUCGGACGCUGGCAUAAUGGUCGUAAGCGACCCGUCUUGAAACACGGACCAAGGAGUCUAACAUCUACGCGAGUGUUCGGGUGUCAAACCCGUGCGCGCAGUGAAAGCGAACGGAGGUGGGAACGCCUCGGGGUGCACCAUCGACCGAUCCUGAUGUCUUCGGAUGGAUUUGAGUAAGAGCGUAGCUGUUGGGACCCGAAAGAUGGUGAACUAUGCCUGAAUAGGGCGAAGCCAGAGGAAACUCUGGUGGAGGCUCGCAGCGGUUCUGACGUGCAAAUCGAUCGUCAAAUUUGGGUAUAGGGGCGAAAGACUAAU
Molecule: ribosomal RNA, 836 nt
Filed under: Herpotrichiellaceae sp. KH00305
Lineage: Eukaryota; Fungi; Ascomycota; Eurotiomycetes; Chaetothyriales; Herpotrichiellaceae
Description: eukaryotic LSU rRNA
Rfam family: Eukaryotic large subunit ribosomal RNA
Source: RNAcentral